UGGCAGUUCCUUGGAGAAACUAGGGGUGAUUCUAUCAUAAAAAGGGGUGGGGGAGAGUAGAUCAGGCAGACACAAUCACUGAAGGAGGAGAGUACAGGAGAUUUAGAGGAAGAAGAUCUGUGAAGAGGUUUGGGAGGAGUUAAGAAGGGAAAGCAAUCAGUCAUUUUUCCAAAGGCCAGUCUGCAGGGCUGGGACUGAGCACAGGCUGAAAUCAAGGUUGGACUACCUCUCAGCCCUUCUCAAGCCCUCCAGGCCUAGCAGUCUCCAUCUGAUCCUGUAUUGGAAAUGGGCAUGGAAGAUGCCACAACUUCUCAAGCUUUCCCUAGGAAAAGGGGUGGGUGAACUUCUGGCCUGAAGAAUCUGAGAGAUGGAGUUUCUUCAUGUUGACCAGGAUGGUCUCGAUCUUUUGACCUUGUGAUCCACCCAUCUCGGCCUCCCAAAGUGCUGGAAUUACAGGAUGGAAGGUCAACUUUGCUCUUCUCCUGGGUUCUGGAACCAGACCUUCCUAACCUGCUCUGCUCACCUGGAGCCCCAGCCCACUGUCACCCAUGCCCUCAUCUCCAGACUCUUCUUCCAGCAAGUAAGAGUCACAGCAGCUAGGCUUGCAAAGCAGGGAUGGUGGCUUGGAGCACCAGCUUCCGUGUCAAGCAGGGCAGGCUGCACUCCCAGCGCCCUGGUGCCUCUGGCUCUCGAGGCUUGUUCCUCAUCUCUAGCUCCCUCACAGAGUUGUCCUGAGGCUCACAAUGGGAACACAUCAAUAAAUUACCUAUUGCAUUAAAAUGAGUUGUUAUUAUUGGCACAAUUGUUAUUGACGCUUAAGCCUGAAGGCAAAUAAAUGAUUUUUAGCUGCAAAA
Molecule: long non-coding RNA, 854 nt
Filed under: Homo sapiens (human)
Lineage: Eukaryota; Metazoa; Chordata; Mammalia; Primates; Hominidae
Description: long intergenic non-protein coding RNA 2169
Source: RNAcentral